AUGCUUCUGCGAUGUUCUGCUGGUGUCUUUUGCCUUGGAGGUGCGCAUCGAAUGUCGAUUUGGAUGUACCGUGGGCCUGGCAGGUACUGCAACUCCAGUUUAUCGAGGAUGUUUUCCUCUGCUCUGUGCCAAGAGAAGGUUGUGCCGCCGCUGCUGUUGCUGCUGCUUUCGCCUUCUGAUCACUUGGCUUGGUUCCUGGGCCCAGUGUUGCUACAUUUGCCAAGUGCUUCUGCUCAGCAUAAUGCAUCUGUAAGUUCUUCUCACAGGUCGCUUGCACCUGGCAGACGGUGCAGUUCCAUUUCUUGGGUGGUUUGA
RNAcentral lists this ribosomal RNA (315 nucleotides) under Triticum aestivum (bread wheat). RNAcentral's name for it is "partial small subunit ribosomal RNA". The record is from RNAcentral. Lineage: Eukaryota; Viridiplantae; Streptophyta; Magnoliopsida; Poales; Poaceae.